GACGAACGCUGGCGGCGUGCCUAAUACAUGCAAGUCGAACGAACCGCGACUAAGUGCUUGCACUAAGUCAAGGUGAGUGGCGAACGGGUGAGUAACACGUGGGUAACCUACCUCAUAGUGGGGGAUAACAGUCGGAAACGACUGCUAAUACCGCAUAGGACAUAGGAUCACAUGAUCCAGUGAGGAAAGGUGGCGCAAGCUAUCGCUAAGAGAUGGACCCGCGGUGCAUUAGCUAGUUGGUAGGGUAAAGGCCUACCAAGGCGAUGAUGCAUAGCCGACCUGAGAGGGUGAUCGGCCACAUUGGGACUGAGACACGGCCCAAACUCCUACGGGAGGCAGCAGUAGGGAAUCUUCCGCAAUGGACGCAAGUCUGACGGAGCAACGCCGCGUGAGUGAAGAAGGUCUUCGGAUCGUAAAGCUCUGUUGUUAGAGAAGAACAGCGCAUAGAGUAACUGCUAUGCGUGUGACGGUAUCUAACCAGAAAGCCAUGGCUAACUACGUG
Molecule: ribosomal RNA, 502 nt
Filed under: uncultured bacterium
Lineage: Bacteria
Description: partial 16S ribosomal RNA
Rfam family: Bacterial small subunit ribosomal RNA
Source: RNAcentral